Molecule: transfer RNA, 24 nt
Filed under: Portulaca biloba
Lineage: Eukaryota; Viridiplantae; Streptophyta; Magnoliopsida; Caryophyllales; Portulacaceae
Description: partial tRNA-Thr
Source: RNAcentral
UCCGAUAAGGGGCUUUUUAGUUUU